UGGGGAAUAUUGGCACAAUGGGCGAAAGGCCUGAAUGCAGCAACGCCGCGUGAGUGAUGAAGGCCUUCGGGUUGUAAAGCUCUGUCUUUUGGGACGAUAAUGACGGUACCAAAGGAGGAAGCCACGGCUAACUACGUGCCAGCAGCCGCGGUAAUACGUAGGUGGCAAGCGUUGUCCGGAUUUACUGGGCGUAAAGGAUGCGUAGGCGGAUUUUUAAGUGAGAUGUGAAAACCCUAAGCUUAACUUGGGGACUGCAUUUCAUACUGGAAAUCUAGAGUGCGGGAGAGGAGAAUGGAAUUCCUAGUGUAGCGGUGAAAUGCGUAGAGAUUAGGAAGAACACCAGUGGCGAAGGCGAUUCUCUGGACCGUAACUGACGCUGAGGCAUGAAAGCGUGGGUAGCAAACAGGAUUAGAUACCCUGGUAGUCCACGCCGUAAACGAUGAGUACUAGGUGUAGGAGGUAUCGACCCCUUCUGUGCCGCAGUUAACACAAUAAGUACUCCGCCUGGGAAGUACGAUCGCAAGAUUAAAAACUCAAAUGAAUUGACGGGGGUCAUAGCUGUUUUUCCCU
This 570-nucleotide ribosomal RNA is filed under the name uncultured bacterium. RNAcentral's name for it is "partial 16S ribosomal RNA". It matches the Rfam family "Bacterial small subunit ribosomal RNA", at positions 355 to 1376 of the family's 1533-position model. The record is from RNAcentral.